This 536-nucleotide ribosomal RNA is filed under the name Staphylococcus aureus. Its description in RNAcentral is "bacterial SSU rRNA". It matches the Rfam family "Bacterial small subunit ribosomal RNA", at positions 8 to 526 of the family's 1533-position model. Lineage: Bacteria; Bacillati; Bacillota; Bacilli; Caryophanales; Staphylococcaceae. The record is from RNAcentral.
AGAGUUUGAUCCUGGCUCAGGAUGAACGCUGGCGGCGUGCCUAAUACAUGCAAGUCGAGCGAACGGACGAGAAGCUUGCUUCUCUGAUGUUAGCGGCGGACGGGUGAGUAACACGUGGAUAACCUACCUAUAAGACUGGGAUAACUUCGGGAAACCGGAGCUAAUACCGGAUAAUAUUUUGAACCGCAUGGUUCGAAAGUGAAAGACGGUCUUGCUGUCACUUAUAGAUGGAUCCGCGCUGCAUUAGCUAGUUGGUAAGGUAACGGCUUACCAAGGCAACGAUGCAUAGCCGACCUGAGAGGGUGAUCGGCCACACUGGAACUGAGACACGGUCCAGACUCCUACGGGAGGCAGCAGUAGGGAAUCUUCCGCAAUGGGCGAAAGCCUGACGGAGCAACGCCGCGUGAGUGAUGAAGGUCUUCGGAUCGUAAAACUCUGUUAUUAGGGAAGAACAUAUGUGUAAGUAACUGUGCACAUCUUGACGGUACCUAAUCAGAAAGCCACGGCUAACUACGUGCCAGCAGCCGCGGUAAUAC